This 83-nucleotide transfer RNA is filed under the name Bacteroidota bacterium. RNAcentral's name for it is "tRNA-Leu". It matches the Rfam family "tRNA". Rfam says of the family: Transfer RNA (tRNA) molecules are approximately 80 nucleotides in length. Their secondary structure includes four short double-helical elements and three loops (D, anti-codon, and T loops). Lineage: Bacteria; Pseudomonadati; Bacteroidota. The record is from RNAcentral.
GCCGGAGUGGCGGAAUGGUAGACGCGCAGGCCUUAGGAGCCUGUGUCCACUCGGACGUGUGGGUUCGAGUCCCACCUCCGGUA